UGUCUUUAUGGCAAAUGUGAGAUGCAGUGUAUGGAAUGUCAAAUUUCUAGUAUGAGAAAUUAACGAUUUAAGUCCUUCUUAAAUGAGGCCAUUUACCCAAAGAGGGUGCCAGGCCCGUAUAACGUUAAUGAUUACUAGAUGACAUUUCCAAAGAGUCGUGUUGCUUGAUAGUGCAGCACUAAGUGGGUGGUAAACUCCAUCUAAAACUAAAUAUAACCAUGAGACCGAUAGUAAACAAGUACCGUGAGGGAAAGUUGAAAAGAACUCUGAAUAGAGAGUUAAAUAGUACGUGAAACUGCUUAGAGGUUAAGCCCGAUGAACCUGAAUAUCCAUUAUGGAAAAUUCAUCAUUAUGAUUUUAAUAUUAAUAAUAUUAUAAUAAUGGUGUGCAUUUUUUCCAUAUAAGGACAUUGUAAUCUAUUAACAAAGAUUUAUCAAAAGAUCAUUGGCUUUAGUUUAUUCAAAUUAUUUUGCUUGCAAUUUAACAUAGAAUAAAUGCUUUUGAUUUGAUAAAGCGUUGAUAGAUUUAUUAUAUAUAGUGCUUGAAUAUAUUUAUAUAUUCUAUAAUAACAUAUUGAUCAAUGAUCUUUGUGUUUCAUUAUAUGCACUUAUAUGAUUAACAAUGCGAAAGAUUCAGGAUACCUUCGGGACCCGUCUUGAAACACGGACCAAGGAGUCUAACAUAUUUGCAAGUUAUUGGGAAUUAAAAACCUAAUAGCGAAAUUAACAUAACUUAUAUAAUGGGAUUAGUUUUUAGUACUAUUUAUAGUCUAUUAAUUCAAUCCCGGGGCGUUCUAUACAGUUAUGUAUAAUAAUAUUUAUAUUAUUUAUACCUCUAACUAGAGCGUACCUUGAGCAUAUAUGCUGUGACCCGAAAGAUGGUGAACUAUACUUGAUCAGGUUGAAGUCAGGGGAAACCCUGAUGGAAGACCGAAACAGUUCUGACGUGCAAAUCGAUUGUCAGAAUUGAGU
RNAcentral lists this ribosomal RNA (971 nucleotides) under Delina nigrita. RNAcentral describes it as "eukaryotic LSU rRNA". It matches the Rfam family "Eukaryotic large subunit ribosomal RNA", at positions 122 to 916 of the family's 3401-position model. Lineage: Eukaryota; Metazoa; Arthropoda; Insecta; Diptera; Scathophagidae. The record is from RNAcentral.